UAAGCGUUUGAUUGAAGAUGAAUGAAAUACCAAAAAGUGAAACUACGCCUGACAAUUAUUGAACAGUUGUUUUUGUAGAUAAGUAUUAGUGGUAUGGAAGUGACAAUAAAUAAAUUGUAUAAAUUACAUACGGGCAGAUCAUACAAAAAUGAUAACAAUGUUAUAAAUUAACACGAACCCCCCAAAAAAACAAAAAAAAACAACAACAACCUUACCGAAGACCGAGUUGUUCAUGAGUUUGAAGAAGUUCUUCUCGUAAGCAGUCUUGGCUUGUUGUCGCAUUUUGGUGUUGAACUCAACGUAGGGUUUCAUGAAAGCCUCUUGUUGGAACUCUAAUACUUUAUGUAUUUUUUUCAAUUUUAGACCGAGUUGGAGAUACAGUUGCAGGUUGCGAUAGUGAAGUACAUAAUUCUGUUUGUUUUCUAAAGUGCUUGGGGAUGUCUCGCCAGAACUUAGACAGAAUGCUGGAGAACUACGAUACAACUUCACAUUAACAUCCACUUGGUUUAACAGAUCGAGAUAGUCCAUCGAAUUCUGACCACUGAUUUGAAACUCAAUGGGAGUAUCAUCCGACACUUGGGAUAUUGGACGAAUCUCUUGAUAAUGGACAUCAUUCACCGCAACUUGUGUAGGAGCUCACUUUUCGCCUGGUUUACUGUCUGUUCCGAUGGGGAAACUGUGCUGAUUGUCAUACCAUUACUUCCCAUCUUCGACUUGUGUGGAAUGGCAAAUCCCCUCCCAACUUGAGAUCAUCCGGGGAUAUCGCCAUAUUGAAAACCCGCCAGAGGUUCGGUCCACGUCCAUGGUGCUCGGGAUGAGUCAUUGGAGGACGAAGAUCGGGUGUCCUUAUGCUGCCAUGAAAUGUCGUUUUUAUGAUGUCCAAUUAUGUUCAAAAAUAAACAACUUGGAGAAUGUG
Mya arenaria is the source of this 916-nucleotide long non-coding RNA. RefSeq lists it as uncharacterized. Lineage: Eukaryota; Metazoa; Mollusca; Bivalvia; Myida; Myidae. The record is from RefSeq and is a predicted model, not a curated record. The transcript has 5 exons.